AAACAAAAAAGUGAGACUUCGAAUUUUAUGCGAAUGCUAUUGAACAAUUAAUACUAAACAUUGUCUCAUUAUCGUCAAUAAAUACAAUGUUGGAUUACUUAAAAAACUGUGCUUACAAAGAGCUUAGAAGCACUCUCACAAAAGUAAACAAUAACAUCUGUUUUCAAAUCACUGAAGAUCUAAUUUCCAUUGUAUAAACGGUCAAGAAAGGUACAA
Non-coding RNA from Schizosaccharomyces pombe (fission yeast), 216 nucleotides. NCBI's taxonomy places the organism in Eukaryota, Fungi, Ascomycota, Schizosaccharomycetes, Schizosaccharomycetales, Schizosaccharomycetaceae. The record is from the annotation of a GenBank genome assembly.